This 71-nucleotide transfer RNA is filed under the name Phanogenia gracilis. RNAcentral describes it as "tRNA-Leu". It matches the Rfam family "tRNA". From Rfam's summary of the family: Transfer RNA (tRNA) molecules are approximately 80 nucleotides in length. Lineage: Eukaryota; Metazoa; Echinodermata; Crinoidea; Comatulida; Comatulidae. The record is from RNAcentral.
AUUAAAAUAGCAAAGUGGAAAUGCAAAAGAUUUAGGAUCUUUUAUCAGAGGUUCAAUUCCUUUUUUUAAUU